Molecule: long non-coding RNA, 3883 nt
Organism: Pongo pygmaeus (Bornean orangutan)
Lineage: Eukaryota; Metazoa; Chordata; Mammalia; Primates; Hominidae
Exons: 4
Source: RefSeq, a predicted model, not a curated record
GCUGGGAUUACAGGUGCGUGCCACCAUGGCUGGCUAAUUUUUGUAUUUUUAGCAGAGAUGGGGUUUCACCAUGUUGGCCAGGCUGGUCUUGAACUCUUGACCUCAAGUGAUCCGCCUGCCUGAGACUCUCAAUGUGCUGGGAUUACAGGCGUGAGCCACCGCGCCCAGUGGCUUUUGCUUUUUAAGGUGGACAGAAACACCUUGCAGCUGUGCUUCGUUGCCCUUGCUGCUUUUGGGUGGAAACAUAGACUUAAGUUAGCAUAUUCAUCAGUUGAUCUCUUUUCUGUGAGAAGGGAAAGAAAUCGCAGUAUUUUGUGUGCACGGCAGGCUUUGAGGGCCCUUAUACUUUGAUUCUGUAGAUGCCCUGUCCUUCCUCGGGAGGCACUCAGCUGUGUACAGAGGCCCGUGUGGUCCUGUCCUGAGAGUAGCGGAAGGAAGACAUGGCUCUGCCUGGGGAGACUGUGCCUUAUGCAGAGGCGAACACCACAUGGAUGAGCUGGAAGCAGCCGCCGGCCUGGCUGCUCUGUCAGGUCAGGAAGGCUUUCUUGAGUCUAGUGUGGUCUGGCUCCCCCACUGUCCCCACUGCCUAGCACAGUGGGCACUCAAGUGUUUGUCUGUUGGAUCGGUUAAUUGGCAGGGACCAGUUGAAGCAAACAGAGAACAGCUGGUUGUCAUUCACUGUUUUCAGGACUGCUUAUGGUUGUUUUUGGUGUUUCUAUAAUAGUUCUAGGCAUGAAGUUCAGGACCACAGCACGCAAGACCACAAGGGACAGAUUUGCCUUCUAUAGAAAUAGGAAUGAGAGCUGAUGAAGAAGAGGUGGCUGCUUCCCAAAGUAUCACAUUGAUUGUCAUUUCUGCAUUUAGAAUGCGUGAGUGACCCCUAAGCUGCUCUUCAGGUUCUUCAGUGCUCUCUUUAUCUCUCUUGUGUAGUUUCUUGAAUCCAGGCGACUGACCCGCACGUCACAUUAUUAUCCCAGGGCUAGUUUCCCCCACGAUGGCGGAGUGGCCACAGCAGUUGCAGGCUUCACAUUUGGGCACAGCCUCCGUCACACCAACCUGACCAAGAGAAUAUGCCAGUUCCUCCUGGACUCCUCAGACUGGAAGAUUGUCCUUUCUCCUUGGCAAAUCAUCUGUACUAUCUGAUUGCAUCUUACAGUCUUCUUUAAAUAUUAUUGUUCCUUAACUGUUAAUGUGUCUGUGCCUUGAGGUCAGCCUCAGGUUCCAAUCCUGUUCCAUUUUGUUUGUGGAAUCUCAGGCAAGAUUGGUUUCUCUGAACUUUUUAAAGUUUUUUCAUCUUCAUCAUUCAGCAAAUCUUUAUUAGAUUCUCAGUGUUGUGCUUCAGUGGACGAAAUACAGACUGACACAAGGAGAUAACAGUUCAUUCACAGAGACAUAGUUUCUCCCACCUCCUCAGUUGCCUAUAGUGAUGGAGCUUUUUCUUGGAUCCGAAUGCCCCUACACAGUGAUUCUAACUCCCAACUGUAAGUCAGAAUCACACAGGAAGUGUUUAAAAUGCUGAAUGAGGCCUGGACUCCACCCUAGACCACUGAAGCCAGAAUUAUUGCAGGAAUGGCCUGAGGAUGCUCUGAUUCUAAGGUGUGGCCAGGUUCGACGACUGUUGUCUUAGGCCUUUGUCCAAUAUGGUUUAUGCUGCUCCCCUGCUAGGUGAGUACCACCGCGGAUUGGUUACCUGCUUUUAUGUGGAAAAUAGAAUAUAGGAAGCCGAUUGGGUGGAAAACAUCUCUUCCAGUGUAUGUAGAUCCCAUAAGGGGGACUUUGAAGUCUGGAGUUAACAGUUUUCUAAUAAAAGAUUUCAGACCAUGUCCACGAACUUAAAUACGUAAUUAAAGAGUGGAAUGCAAAUUAUUAAGAUUUUGCUGGUAAAGCAAGCUCUGCUUGCGUAAUUUAAAUCUUCGGAGGGCAUGUUUCCACAGAUCAUUAGGUGAAGGUUAAACUGAGACAACAAACAGCGGACGCCUUCCUUAGCUAGCAUACCUCUUUUUGCAUUCUUUUAUUUUCAACAGAUAGUAAUUUUGCAGCUUUUUACUUCUUCAACCAAACCUUCUAAGUAACUUUGCUUUCCAUUAACAACAAAGCAGCUCAUUAAGGGGGAAGUUCUGUGCUUAAUCUUAACACUGGAAGGAGAGGAGUCUAUUUACCAGCUAAUGUAAGUACUUCUCAUUAGGCAGUCCUAGAUUUUCUAGGAUAUUUGAAGAGUCUGCUGACAGCGACCAGCAAAUCAGAGGAAAAUCAUUUCUGUAGCUAGGUUCUUUUUUCUUGGAUGUCCUUUAAAAGGAAGCUCUGCUGUAGCGAUGUGCUUUCCUUCCUGGCAGGUGGCCUUCAGUAGCUGGCCUUUUGUUGGUCCGGUUCCAGCAUAUUUUAUUAAGUGAAAAAUCCUGUAGAACAGAUGGCACUUACAAGUUUCUGCCCAUGUAGCACUCUGUUUAAUGAAAUACUAUAGUUUUGCUUCAUUGUUUUUGGCAGUAAUUGUCUUUGUGUGGAGUUUGAGUACAUGGUCCGAGAAGCUCGGCAAUAAUAAAGGUUGAGCCAGACAAGGAUAAUCUGAAGUGAUUGAGUAAUGAUGGGACAGAGGCUUCGGAGUGGAGUGCAGUUACAUUGAAAACAGAUGCAGAAUAAAAAGAUGAUGCACAAUUUUUUUUUUUUUUUUUUUUGAGAUGGAGCCUCGCUGUGUUGCCCAGGCUGGAGUGCAGUGGCGCGAUCUUGGCUCACUGCAAGCUCCACCUCCUGGAUUCACGCCAUUCUCCUGCCUCAGCCUCCUGAGUAGUUAGGACUACAGGCGCCUGCCACCACACCCAGCUAAUUUUUUGUAUUUUUUAAUAGAGACGGGGUUUCACCGUAUUAGCGAGGACGGUCUCGAUCUCCUGACCUCAUGAUCCUCCCACCUCGGCGUCCCAAAGUGCUGGGAUUACAGGCCUGAGCCACCGCGCCCGGGCGAUGAUGCACAACUUUUUUUUUUUUUUUUUUUUUUUGAGAAGGAGUCUCGCUCUUUUGCCCAGGCUGGAGUGCAAUGGCGUGAUCUCAGCUCACUGCAACCUCCACCUGCCAUAUUGUCCAGGCAGCUAGUGGUCUGCUUCUGUCACUAUAGGCUAAGAAAGUUUGCCUCUUCUAGAAUUACAUUGGCGCAGAAUUACACAAACUGUACUCUUUUGUUUGGUUACCUUCACCUGACCCAGCUAUUUGGAUUUAGCCAUGUUGAGUGUUGAGUUCCAGCCUUUUCAGUACUGGGUAGUAUUCCUUUGGGGAUGUCCCACAGUUUGCUUGUCUCUUCACCUCUUGAUGGACAUUUUUGUUGUUCCCACUGUUUGAAUCUGCUGUUCACAUUCAUGUACAAGUGUCUGUGUGGACAUAGGUUUUCAUUUCUUGUGGGUAAAAUGUGGUAAGCGUAUAUUCUACUCUAAGAAACUGCAAGGCUUUCUCAAAGCGGCCAUGCCGUUUUCUAUCUGCACCAGCAGUGUAUGAGAAUGCUUCUUCUGUGUCCUCACCAACAUUUGAUAUUGUCAGUCUUCUUUUUUUGAGACAGUCUCACUCUGUCGGCCAGGCUGGAGUGCAGUGGUGUGAUCUUGGCUCACUGAAACCUUCACCUCCCAGGUUUAAGCAGUUCUCUGGUCUUAGCCUCCCGAGUAGCUGGGAUUACAGGCAGACUCCCCCACGCCCAGCUAAUUUUUUUAUUUUUAGUAGAGAUGGAGUUUCACCAUGUUGGCCAGUCUCGAACUCCCUAUCUCAAGUGAUUCGUCCGCCUUGGCCUCCCAAAGUGCUGGGAUUACAGGUGUGAGCCACUGCGCCCAGCUCAGUCGUCUUAAUUUUAUAAGAUAAUUAUAAAUCUUAUAAAUUAUCUUAUUUUAAAAUAAGAUAAAAAUUAUCU